This is a non-coding RNA of Podarcis muralis (Common wall lizard), 2540 nucleotides long. NCBI's taxonomy places the organism in Eukaryota, Metazoa, Chordata, Lepidosauria, Squamata, Lacertidae. The record is from RefSeq and is a predicted model, not a curated record.
GCACUGGAUCAUAGACUUCCCCCCCGUCUCUGCAAGAAGCCUUUUUAGUCACCCAUUAUUAGACUGACAAAAGGUUCCAAGUUUCCGGGUUCACUCUGAGCUCGAUUUUAGCCUCCCAGGGAGGAAGUCAGAAAGAACCGCUCACAGGAAGCGCUGGCGGAAGCCCAAGUUUUAAUGUAGCUGCGUUUGAGCAGCGGCUUAUCCAUUAAGAAGCCAACGGUAGUAGCAUUCAUUUCAGUGAAAAGCGGCGUAGAAAUACAUUUCAUCUUUCUAACAUAGCAUGACUGCCAAUCCGAAAGUUGCUUAGCAAUAGCCCUGUAAGCGCAGGUCUUUAUUGCAGGCUGAAGAUGGACCGAGGUCGCUUUACGCUUUCCAUUCAUAAAUGGUAUCCAUCCCAUGCAAAACACUCUCAAGGAGAAAACAGCGCCAACAGGAACCGGAACUUCCUUCUUCAGGCAUCUUAAUCACGACUUUACUCUUCAAUCUCGAUAGUAUAGGCUCUAUGGAAAGCAAUGGGGCGGCCUGGCGUUACCGGCCUUCGUCUGUCUGAAGCCCUCGCCAGAGAGGGAGGCGCCGCAGAGUCACAGAGGCCUAAAGCGGGCUGUGCUGCGCGAAUUCCUGGCUCAAGAAGAGGUUGCGGCUCCUCCUUUUUUCUCUCCUGACAGUUCUUGUACCUUCAAGAGCUUUCAGAACAGGCUGAAAUUCUUCAUGCUGACAGGAAGAGAAGCUGCUCCUGCAAAUCAUGCAACAGUUAAAGACGCUUUGUCAGGAAAAAGAAUCAUAUAUACUGGUACUGUUUAGGAUGCCAGGCUCCAGCUGAUCACUUCCAUUUUACUCCUGAGUAUUUCUAUCAGUUUCAUGGGCUUGUUCCAGCAUAAAACAGGCCAUGUCAUCUUGCAGUAACAACUAGACCCCUUCAAAAGCAGAAAUAUUUUCAUAAAUUAACACCUUCCAUAGUAUUUUUUGUGUGUGUGUGUAAUGUGAUUUGGAAUUGCUUGUAGUGAGUUGGUGUGGUGUAAUAGCAAGUGUGAAAUGGAAAUCUCUCAUCAGCCGUGGAGUUCGGAAGUUGCCUUAGGCAGCUCAUAAUCCAGCCUUAUCAAACGUGGUACCACGGCAGUGGGCCAGCAUAAAGCAUUCCACACUGAGGCAAUACCACUGAGUAGCUGCUUUCUCCUGCACCUCAGCUCAGGUGGCAGGGGGUACACAGAAAAGGGCUUCUGAAAAUAACAAUUGGGCAGGUUCAUUUGGGAACUGGUAAUCCUUCAAAAACUGGAUCCAAGUACAUGUUUUAAAUCUUACUUUUUCAUCUGCAUUAUUAUUAUAUGUAUAAGAUUUCUUAUCCGCCGUUUACUAUAGGAUCCCAGGAUGUGUUACAAUGGCAAAAGCAAUACAGUUUAAAACAAAACCAACCACUAGUAAAAUAUUUAUCAUCAUCAUAUUAAUUGACAGUUUCAGAUAGGUCACAGAACAACAGCCCUAUUUCAGAUUGGUGACAAACUCUUCACUAACAGAGAAAGGUCCCUGAGACACCUCAACAGGUGGUCACACUAUGUUUGGGGUAUCCAAUGACACAGGUGGGCUGUUCUGACAAUCCACUUGUUCUUUCUCUUGGAUCCAGAGCUCUAUGUCCUAAGCCCUAGGACCCUAAGUUCAGACUCCUCCUGGGGUCCUAGAUUCCUAUUCCCUUCUUACAGGCUGACCUCCUUCAGCUCUGAUCUCCUCCCACUUUUCCUCAACAUUCAACCCCACUCUCUAUACUGUCUCUAUGAGACUCUUGGCUCCAGCUCCCAUCAGACCUAGCCAACAUGACCAAUGAUCAGGAAAGAGGGAAUCUAACAAUAUCUGGUAGACCACAGGUUCCCCAACCCUGUACUAAUUCCUGUAGUUGCUUUUUUAAAAGUAAGUAAAAUAAUAUAAACAGAAAAUAUUCAACAUUAAUAUACAAGAUUGGCUAAGGGUUUUAAGCCAAGAAGGGAACUUACUACUUAGAAACUUCUACCUCAAUACCACCUUCAUUUGUAAAAUUAUAUUAAAGGUUUAAUAUAAAUUUGUAGAUGCAAGAAGUCAGAAAAAUUUCUAGCAAUUCUAAGUGUUAGUUCAACAUACCAUUAUAUCUAUCUGUAUCUAGAGAGAGAUAACCUUAUGCUUCCCACUGUAACAAUCAUUUAUUACUAAAAGUGUCUCCCUACAUAGUUUGUGCAAUGCAAUUUAGAAUUAUUUAUAAACAUUUUAAUAUCAAAGAAAUGUAGUAUAACAUGUCACACAUUUGGGCCCAUUAGUGACUGUAUUAUUCCUAGUAUAUUCAGUUUGCUGUCACAAACUAUUGGUUUGUCAAUUGUUAAGUGAUUGUUGUAUGUACAAUAGAGCAUUCUUUACAUUAGCAGUAGAUUAGUUACCUAUUGGUGCCUGUUGAAAAUACUGAGAAAUUCAGAUGCAAUUAUAUUUGAAAUGGCAGUUUGAAAAAGAAAAUGUCCCCCUCAGAAUAACAUUAUCAUUUGCUGGCAGCUGCUGGUGCUAUAUAAACAGUAUAAUACUUCUUA